Molecule: ribosomal RNA, 274 nt
Filed under: uncultured bacterium
Lineage: Bacteria
Description: partial 16S ribosomal RNA
Rfam family: Bacterial small subunit ribosomal RNA
Source: RNAcentral
AUACGGAGGGUGCAAGCGUUACUCGGAAUCACUGGGCGUAAAGCGCGCGCAGGCGGCUAUUUAAGUUGGAUAUGAAAGCCUACGGCUCAACCGUAGAACUGCAUCCAAAACUAUUUAGCUAGAGUGUGGGAGAGGAAGAUGGAAUUAGUUGUGUAGGGGUAAAAUCCGUAGAGAUAACUAGGAAUACCAAAAGCGAAGGCAAUCUUCUGGAACACUACUGACGCUGAGGCGCGAAAGCGUGGGGAGCAAACAGGAUUAGAAACCCUAGUAGUCC